GGUGCGGCCCCGGGGGCUUGCUCCCGGGUGGUAGGGGUAACACCCUCACGCGCUGCCUGCCUGUACCCUCUUUUACGAGCACCUUUCGUUCUCCUUCGGCGGGGCAACCUGCCGCUGGAACCAAAACAAAACCUUUUUUGCAUCUAGCAUUACCUGUUCUGAUACAAAUAAUCGUUACAACUUUCAACAAUGGAUCUCUUGGCUCUGGCAUCGAUGAAGAACGCAGCGAAAUGCGAUAAGUAGUGUGAAUUGCAGAAUUCAGUGAAUCAUCGAAUCUUUGAACGCACAUUGCGCCCCUUGGUAUUCCAUGGGGCAUGCCUGUUCGAGCGUCAUCUACACCCUCAAGCUCUGCUUGGUGUUGGGCGUCUGUCCCGCCUCUGCGCGCGGACUCGCCCCAAAUUCAUUGGCAGCGGUCUUUGCCUCCUCUCGCGCAGCACAAUUGCGUCUGCGGGGGGGCGUGGCCCGCGUCCACGAAGCAACAUUACCGUCUUUGACCUCGGAUCAGGUAGGGAUACCCGCUGAACUUAAGCAUAUCAAUA
Molecule: ribosomal RNA, 539 nt
Filed under: uncultured Hypoxylon
Lineage: Eukaryota; Fungi; Ascomycota; Sordariomycetes; Xylariales; Xylariaceae
Description: eukaryotic LSU rRNA
Rfam family: 5.8S ribosomal RNA (bases 179-332)
Source: RNAcentral